GACGAACCGAGCGAACGUUGUUCGGAAUCACUGGGCGUAAAGCGCGUGUAGGCGGUCGGGCAAGUCGGAUGUGAAAGCCCCGGGCUCAACCCGGGAAGUGCAUUCGAUACUGCUUGGCUAGAGUACUGGAGAGGAUGGUGGAACUCUCGGUGUAGAGGUGAAAUUCGUAGAUAUCGAGAAGAACACCGGCGGCGAAGGCGGCCAUCUGGACAGAUACUGACGCUGAGACGCGAAAGCGUGGGGAGCAAACAGG
Molecule: ribosomal RNA, 253 nt
Filed under: uncultured bacterium
Lineage: Bacteria
Description: partial 16S ribosomal RNA
Rfam family: Bacterial small subunit ribosomal RNA
Source: RNAcentral